RNAcentral lists this ribosomal RNA (429 nucleotides) under Bacteroidota bacterium. RNAcentral describes it as "Bacteroidetes bacterium partial 16S ribosomal RNA". It matches the Rfam family "Bacterial small subunit ribosomal RNA", at positions 355 to 776 of the family's 1533-position model. The record is from RNAcentral. Lineage: Bacteria; Pseudomonadati; Bacteroidota.
UAGGGAAUCUUCGGCAAUGGGGGGAACCCUGACCGAGCAACGCCGCGUGAGUGAAGAAGGUUUUCGUAUCGUAAAGCUCUGUUGUUAAGGAAGAACGAGUGUGAGAAUGGAAAGUUCAUACUGUGACGGUACUUAACCAGAAAGGGACGGCUAACUACGUGCCAGCAGCCGCGGUAAUACGUAGGUCCCGAGCGUUGUCCGGAUUUAUUGGGCGUAAAGCGAGGGCAGGCGGUUAGAUAAGUCUGAAGUUAAAGGCAGUGGAACAACCAUGGUAGGCUUUGGAAACUGUGUAACUUGAGUGGAGGAGGGGAGAGAGGAAUUCCGUGUGUAGCGGUGAAAUGCGUAGAUAUAUGGAGGAACACCGGUGGCGAAAGCGGCUCUCUGGGCUGUAACUGACGCUGAGGCUCGAGAGCGUGGGGAGAGAACAGG